Non-coding RNA from Hordeum vulgare subsp. vulgare (domesticated barley), 124 nucleotides. The record is from Rfam. NCBI's taxonomy places the organism in Eukaryota, Viridiplantae, Streptophyta, Magnoliopsida, Poales, Poaceae.
UAUGUACUCCCUCCGUCCGAAAAUACNNNNNNUAAGGAUAAAUGUAUCUAGACUUAUUUUAGUUAUAGAUACAUCCAUUAUAUCCAUUUCUAGGACAAGUAUUUCCGGACGGAGGGAGUAACCU